CAGCUUGCUGGGUGGAUCAGUGGCGAACGGGUGAGUAACACGUGAGCAACCUGCCCCUGACUCUGGGAUAAGCGCUGGAAACGGCGUCUAAUACUGGAUACGAGUAGCGACCGCAUGGUCAGUUACUGGAAAGAUUUAUUGGUUGGGGAUGGGCUCGCGGCCUAUCAGCUUGUUGGUGAGGUAAUGGCUCACCAAGGCGUCGACGGGUAGCCGGCCUGAGAGGGUGACCGGCCACACUGGGACUGAGACACGGCCCAGACUCCUACGGGAGGCAGCAGUGGGGAAUAUUGCACAAUGGGCGCAAGCCUGAUGCAGCAACGCCGCGUGAGGGAUGACGGCCUUCGGGUUGUAAACCUCUUUUAGCAGGGAAGAAGCGAAAGUGACGGUACCUGCAGAAAAAGCGCCGGCUAACUACGUGCCAGCAGCCGCGGUAAUACGUAGGGCGCAAGCGUUAUCCGGAAUUAUUGGGCGUAAAGAGCUCGUAGGCGGUUUGUCGCGUCUGCUGUGAAAUCCGGAGGCUCAACCUCCGGCCUGCAGUGGGUACGGGCAGACUAGAGUGCGGUAGGGGAGAUUGGAAUUCCUGGUGUAGCGGUGGAAUGCGCAGAUAUCAGGAGGAACACCGAUGGCGAAGGCAGAUCUCUGGGCCGUAACUGACGCUGAGGAGCGAAAGGGUGGGGAGCAAACAGGCUUAGAUACCCUGGUAGUCCACCCCGUAAACGUUGGGAACUAGUUGUGGGGUCCAUUCCACGGAUUCCGUGACGCAGCUAACGCAUUAAGUUCCCCGCCUGGGGAGUACGGCCGCAAGGCUAAAACUCAAAGGAAUUGACGGGGACCCGCACAAGCGGCGGAGCAUGCGGAUUAAUUCGAUGCAACGCGAAGAACCUUACCAAGGCUUGACAUAUACGAGAACGGGCCAGAAAUGGUCAACUCUUUGGACACUCGUAAACAGGUGGUGCAUGGUUGUCGUCAGCUCGUGUCGUGAGAUGUUGGGUUAAGUCCCGCAACGAGCGCAACCCUCGUUCUAUGUUGCCAGCACGUAAUGGUGGGAACUCAUGGGAUACUGCCGGGGUCAACUCGGAGGAAGGUGGGGAUGACGUCAAAUCAUCAUGCCCCUUAUUCUUGGGCUUC
Molecule: ribosomal RNA, 1128 nt
Filed under: uncultured Microbacterium sp.
Lineage: Bacteria; Bacillati; Actinomycetota; Actinomycetes; Micrococcales; Microbacteriaceae
Description: bacterial SSU rRNA
Rfam family: Bacterial small subunit ribosomal RNA
Source: RNAcentral